GAUGAAGAACGCAGCGAAAUGCGAUAAGUAAUGUGAAUUGCAGAAUUCAGUGAAUCAUCGAAUCUUUGAACGCACAUUGCGCCCGUCAGUAUUCUGGCGGGCAUGCCUGUUCGAGCGUCAUUACGCCCCUCAAGUCCCCUGUGGACUUGGUGUUGGGGAUCGGCGAGGCUGGUUUUCCAGCACAGCCGUCCCUUAAAUUAAUUGGCGGUCUCGCCGUGGCCCUCCUCUGCGCAGUAGUAAAACACUCGCAACAGGAGCCCGGCGCGGUCCACUGCCGUAAAACCCCCCAACUUUUUAUAGUUGACCUCGAAUCAGGUAGGACUACCCGCUGAAAUUAAGCAUAUCAAUAAGCGGAGGA
RNAcentral lists this unclassified non-coding RNA (358 nucleotides) under soil metagenome. RNAcentral describes it as "partial contains 5.8S ribosomal RNA, internal transcribed spacer 2, and large subunit ribosomal RNA". The stretch from base 1 to 120 matches the Rfam family "5.8S ribosomal RNA", at positions 35 to 154 of the family's 154-position model. The record is from RNAcentral.